Molecule: long non-coding RNA, 224 nt
Organism: Pundamilia nyererei
Lineage: Eukaryota; Metazoa; Chordata; Actinopteri; Cichliformes; Cichlidae
Exons: 3
Source: RefSeq, a predicted model, not a curated record
AUGUGCUGGCGGGCCGCUACUCAGAGAGUCGAUAAGUGUUUGGCUCAGAGGGGAGAUGAGGGAUAGAGCAACACUGAGGAGCCACCAGCCUGGAGUCAGGUGUCAUUUCAAGGAAUGUAUAUACAAGUAGUCUUGGAUGUGGAGAAUGUCAACCUUAAUGAGAAGGAGGCAAAAGAGGCAGAACAAAGACGAGAUUUCUGAGCUACAGGUGGAGCUAGACGGGC